CUUGUCUCGUGCUCUUGCCUAUAAUUGUUUAUAGUGACCAGAGCUGGUGGGCAUCAACUACAGUUGACUUAAGAGGACGUUGCACCCACACAUGUUGUCUCCGUCUCACACACGCACGCACGACGGCAAAUGUUCGUCAACCAGUCUCGGUACCUGUAGUGCAUAAUUGGUGUGCUGUUGGCUGUUAGUGUUUCGAUAUUAGAGUAGGUAAACCGUCGGAUCAUUCAAAUGUUGAGAUUUCCAAAGUAAGAAGGCAAAAAUGGUCUGAUUCUAUCCAAAGAGAUAACUUUAUUCCUACAAAAUAUUUGCGUUUGUGCAGUAUCCAUUUUAGUUACAGCGAGUUUGUAAGUUUGUAGAAAAACUUGUUUUAAAAAAUACAGCUAAUCCAACAAUUUUUAACUAUACCAAACGACUAUUCAAAUGUUUAAGCUACAAACUUGUUUACAACUAUAGUUCCUCAGUUUCUCCUUCAUAAAUUAUACCAACACAUACUUUCUAUUUCUUCUAAUGUACCCAUUGAUUCUGUUGUUGAAAGUGCUGUUGGUAAUUAUUAAGCCGUCAAUCUGACUUUUAUUGGACCUAAUUCUAGACAGUCGCCUCAAAGCCCUACAUAUCACCCACACUAGAAAGAAAAUUCAAGAAAUAAUUAUUUGAUACACCAAAAAAAAUCAACCUUAAAAAAUGAAUCAAACUAUUACAACAAACAGUUUGAAGACAGAGUACAAACAUUAAUACACUUAAGGUAUCGCCGACACUGACAGAGCUGCUUAAACAUUACGCCGACAUUGAUCUAAUAAUGUAAAUUUGAUAAUAUGUAAAUAAUUGAAAUCGGUUAGUUAAAUAAGACUUAAAUCAUGAUAUCAAUGGAUCACCA
Long non-coding RNA from Metopolophium dirhodum (rose-grain aphid), 874 nucleotides. RefSeq lists it as uncharacterized. NCBI's taxonomy places the organism in Eukaryota, Metazoa, Arthropoda, Insecta, Hemiptera, Aphididae. The record is from RefSeq and is a predicted model, not a curated record. The transcript has 5 exons.